RNAcentral lists this ribosomal RNA (253 nucleotides) under uncultured bacterium. RNAcentral's name for it is "partial 16S ribosomal RNA". It matches the Rfam family "Bacterial small subunit ribosomal RNA", at positions 524 to 776 of the family's 1533-position model. The record is from RNAcentral.
UACGUAGGGUGCAAGCGUUAAUCGGAAUUACUGGGCGUAAAGCGUGCGCAGGCGGUUGUGUAAGACAGAUGUGAAAUCCCCGGGCCCAACCUGGGAACUGCAUUUGUGACUGCAUGGCUGGAGUGCGGCAGAGGGGGAUGGAAUUCCGCGUGUAGCAGUGAAAUGCGUAGAUAUGCGGAGGAACACCGAUGGCGAAGGCAAUCCCCUGGGCCUGCACUGACGCUCAGGCGCGAAAGCUAGGGGAGCGAACAGG